RNAcentral lists this ribosomal RNA (1290 nucleotides) under metagenome. Its description in RNAcentral is "SSU rRNA". It matches the Rfam family "Eukaryotic small subunit ribosomal RNA", at positions 499 to 1783 of the family's 1831-position model. The record is from RNAcentral.
GGCUUGGUAAUUGGAAUGAGGGAGAGUUAAACGGACCAUCGAGUAUCCAUUGGAGGGCAAGUCUGGUGCCAGCAGCUGCGGUAAUACCAGCUCCAAUAGCGUAUAUUAAAGUUGUUGCAGUUAAGAAGCUCGUAGUUGGACUUGUGUGCGCCGUCCGCGGGUGGCCUGCGCCCAAAAGGGCGUUUCGGUUCGGCCCCGGUGGCGCCUUGAAAUCUGCAGCUGGGGGGACGUUGGCCUUAACUGGUCGGCGACCGCACGCCGGCUGCUCGGUUACUGUGAGAAAAUUAGAGUGUUCAAGGCAGGCAUUGGGUGCAAUUGAAUACAUUAGCAUGGAAUAAUAAAUAUGGCUCCUGCCGUAUUUUGUUGGUUUUGACUGGUGGGAGUAAUGAUUGAUAGGGACGGUUGGGGGUGCUAGUAUUGAGCGGCCAGAGGUGAAAUUCAUGGAUUCGCUCAAGACUAACUUAUGCGAAAGCAUUCACCAAGGACGUCCUCUUUAAUCAAGAACGAAAGUUGGGGGAUCGAAGACGAUCAGAUACCGUCGUAGUCUCAACCAUAAACUAUGUCGACUUGGGAUCGGCGGUAGUUUUUUCAUUAAGACACUGUCGGGACCACGGGAGAAAUCAAAGUGUCAGGACUCUGGGGGAAGUAUGGUCGCAAGGCUGAAACUUGAAGGAAUUGACGGAAGGGCACCACCAGGAGUGGAGCCUGCGGCUUAAUUUGACCCAACACGGGGAAACUUACCAGGUCCAGAGAUGUAGAGGAUUAACAGAUUGAAGCUCUUUCUUGAUCACUUCGGUGGUGGUGCAUGGCCGUUCUUAGUUGGUGGAGUGAUUUGUCUGGUUAAUUCCGUUAACGAACGAGACCUCAGCCUGCUAGUGUAGUCGGCUGGAUUGCCUUUGGCGAUCCGUGAUUUCGACUUCUUAGAGGGACAAUCGACGCGCAGUCGAUGGAAGUUUGAGGCAAUAACAGGUCUGUGAUGCCCUUAGAUGUUCUGGGCCGCACGCGCGCUACACUGCUGGGCUCAGCGAGUUUUACUUGGCCGAGAGGCCCGGUUAAUCUUGUGAAAUCCCAGCGUGCUUGGGCUCGCCUCCUGCAACUGGAGGCGCCAACGAGGAAUUCCUAGUAGACGCAGGUCAUCAACCUGCAUCGAUUACGUCCCUGCCCUUUGUACACACCGCCCGUCGUUCCAUAAGAGUGAGGCAUCCGGUGAAUUCUCGGGAGAGCCUGGGCGUGGCCAGCAAUGGUCUGCUCGGGUUUGAACUUGCAUAAACUUGGUGCCUAUGAUUAGGG